AGAGGAGGGGCUUUGUGAGGCUGGGAUUUAGAGAUAGAUAGUGGACUCCUGCUUUGGUACAAUGUGUCCUCCUCCAGAGGACACCCACUGUUGCAACUACAUAAUAAAUUGGGCUUUUAACUUCAUCCCUCCUGAGCCUGAAUGAAUUAUUUUUAGUUUAUUUUAGUUUAUUUUUUUAUUUUUUAGUUCAUUAUUUCUCACAAUUCCUUGGCAUCGUCCAGAAUACCAAGCAUCGAGGCGGAGAGGCGGUCACCAAAAGGUGGGGAGGUGCACCCCACUGUGAAGCUCUGCCUUCUGAAGACUCUGCCCUUCCCCGGGAUAAGCGCGGACAAGAGGAGGAGGAGGAAGAGAUGUCACCUGAGCUCCUGACAUCUGUUUACCAGGUGAGUUUGUUUCUUCUGUCUCUUGAAAUACCAUCUAAAGCCUCCAAGCAUGGAAACGUUUCCUUUAAAC
Molecule: long non-coding RNA, 453 nt
Filed under: Vombatus ursinus (common wombat)
Lineage: Eukaryota; Metazoa; Chordata; Mammalia; Diprotodontia; Vombatidae
Description: lncRNA (ENSVURG00010013370.1)
Source: RNAcentral